Molecule: transfer RNA, 70 nt
Filed under: Glossanodon semifasciatus (deepsea smelt)
Lineage: Eukaryota; Metazoa; Chordata; Actinopteri; Argentiniformes; Argentinidae
Description: tRNA-Ser
Rfam family: tRNA
About the family: Transfer RNA (tRNA) molecules are approximately 80 nucleotides in length.
Source: RNAcentral
AAGAAAGUGGCAGAGUGGUUAGGCAGCUGGCUUGAAACCAGUAAACGGGGGUUCAAUUCCUCCUUUCUCG